AUGUUGGUUGAAGGAAGGAAUUGGGUGGAGGCAUGUGACGGGCAUCUUCCAGGAUGUCAAGGGCUGCCCAGGGGGAUGGGGGGAUGGAUGUCCAGGAAAGCUCCCCUUGGCCCAACUGCCCCCCCCAUGGAGGCUCCUCUCACGUCUGGGGUCCUCAGGGGCCCGUGGGGUCCCCUCCAACACUGGCAGCCCGCCUUGACCUCCCUUCCCGCUCAGGAGAUGCCCCAGGAGGGUUCUGUGGCCUCCAGUGUUUCCGGACUCCCCUGUGGGUGGAAUCAGGCCCAGAGGAGUUCCUCACACGUGCUGGAAGUCCUGGCCAGGGGUGCGCGGCAGAGCCGUCCCUUCACUCCAGGGCAGGGGGCGGUCCGAUCUGGCCAUUGCUGCGUGGGCUGGAGGACUCCAGAGGACUCAGGCCAGCCGUCCCAGUCAUGGCCACCGAGGGGCAGAGAGCCGAGACCGGGAAGAGAAGGGAGCGGAGGGGGAUCCCUUUGGGGAGUGGGCUGUGCCCAGCGGUGCCCACCCCCGGGAGUCACCCCCAAGCAGCCCCCAGGGCCAAAGCCCAACCCACAAAGGAGCAGCCGAGAAGGGGGUCACGUGAGCUUUAUUGACAAGCCCCCGAGGGGGCCCGCAGGCCUGGAGGGGGCUCUGGGAGACGGGGGUUGGGGGACGCGGGGUCUGUUGGGAAGCUCCACGAGGCGCCCCCUUUCCCGCUCUGAGGAAUCUCCUGGAGCCCUUGGGGGGGGGCCGGGAGGGGCAGGACAGGAGGGGGGCCACGGGCGGGGGGACGACGGGCCUUCGCUCUGGACGUCGGCCCUCGGCUUCACUUCCAGCGCCCGCCGACCUUGCCCUUUGCGCCCGCCUUCUUGCUGCUGCGAUUGGAGAGGGAGAAACCGAGUCAGCGCUGAGGCUCCGAGGGGCGCAGGCGCGGCAGGGCUGCCGGGGCUCCUUCGGCCUCCUCCAGCCGCCGCCUCCCAUCUCGGCCCCAGGCCUAAGCAGCCGCGACUUACCUGCGCCCAGGCCGGACCUGGUCCGGGCCGGGUUUGUCCCUUGCCAAGCAGGGGAGUCUGGCUUAGGGGGGCUGACAAGCGGGGGGGCCCCAGCUCCUCCCUCGGCUGCUGGCACUCACCAGACUUGGCGGGGAAUUGA
This 1146-nucleotide long non-coding RNA is filed under the name Monodelphis domestica (gray short-tailed opossum). RNAcentral's name for it is "lncRNA (ENSMODG00000037319.1)". The record is from RNAcentral. Lineage: Eukaryota; Metazoa; Chordata; Mammalia; Didelphimorphia; Didelphidae.